This 609-nucleotide long non-coding RNA is filed under the name Cyanistes caeruleus (blue tit). RNAcentral describes it as "lncRNA (ENSCCEG00000023816.1)". Lineage: Eukaryota; Metazoa; Chordata; Aves; Passeriformes; Paridae. The record is from RNAcentral.
CUCUGUCUGAGAGCAAUCAAGGACCCACAGCCAUCCAAGGACAGAAGAACAAAGGAUGCUAGCAAACGUUUCAUAAGAGUGCUUCCAGAGAGAGUGAGCUGUUGCUUGGGAGAAACAACGGAGGAGCAGAAAAUCUUUGGCACAUCUCGGUUUCAGCCUGCUAACCUAAGAAGCAUGGUGAGACUGAAGGGCUCAAGAAGGCACAGGAUUGCAACACCUCAAGGGAGAGCUGGAGCUGACCAUUUUUCCAAAAACAGACCUCCCAGACACAGUCCUGUUUUCAGAAAAUGUCAUCUUUCUUUUCCUCCUCUUCACACAGACAGCUAUAGCCCCUCAGCCGUGCCAAAUGCUGAAAUAUCUGUGUUGGUGAGGAAGAGGCUAGGGAGGAAAAUGUGGCUUUGAAGGAGAAGUAAUCUCUUGGAGUGGAGAUGAAGUAGAUUUUGACCACAGCUGUUCCCACAGAGAGGUCUCUGUCUCACAGUGAAAUACAAGGACUGGAUGGCAACAACGUGUAGGGUUAAAUCCUGAGAUGUUCGCUCGUCAGAAGAAAUAUAAGGAUAAAAGAAGUAAAAACAAUUUCCUUGAACCCUCUGUUCUUUUCAUGCCAAU